Long non-coding RNA from Hibiscus syriacus, 634 nucleotides. RefSeq lists it as uncharacterized. NCBI's taxonomy places the organism in Eukaryota, Viridiplantae, Streptophyta, Magnoliopsida, Malvales, Malvaceae. The record is from RefSeq and is a predicted model, not a curated record. The transcript is spliced from 2 exons.
CCUCUUUAAAGUUUCAAUCAUUGCCUUAGCUUUUCCUUCUCCAGUCCCCCUUUCUCUCAAAUGUAUAAGUGCUUCCCAGUGGAGAAUUUUGUGCAACACAAAGACAAAAAGUAAUCCCUUGCUUCCAAUCUCUUUUUUUCUAAGUUCGAUCUGGGUCUCUCACAAAAUUAAUUUAAAAGAUGAGUCUUUGAGGUAUUUGCACAGAAACCACAAAGCAAAAAGGAAAGUCUUUUGAGGAAAUUUUUUCAUGUGUGAGAUCUUCUUCACAGGAGGAAAGUUGGAAGAAGAAGAGUGGGAAAAAGAGAGUAACACAAAGAAGAAGAAGAAGAAGAAGAAGAAGAAAAAACCUAAUUUUUGCCAAAGCUGUGGAAAAAGGGGGAUUUUUAAGCAAAUAACAAGAACCCGAAGUUUUUGUUUCAUCUGCUUAUCUACUGGGGAAACUGGCAAUGUCUGCUACAAUAAUGACCGAGGCUGUAUCAGCCCCAACGCAAGAAACUCCAGCAACUCCGGUGAAGCACAAACCGAUGUCGAGUUUUGCGAAUUGCGAUUGCUGUGGACUUACCGAGGAGUGUACCCGGCCUAUAUCGAUACGGUCCGCCAACGGUACCAAGGGAAAUGGAUAUGUGGCCUCUGC